UUUUUAAUAGUUGGGGACCAAAUUUGAAACGAUAUCUACAUAUACAUUUUUGCAACUAUUUUGUGAAAUAAAUCUUGUAGUUGAGAUUUAUUUACAAUGGCUGCCACUAGAUUUUCAUUGCUUUUCUCCAUAACUAUAACAAUUCGAUUAUAACCAUCAAACUGCAGAAAUAUUUGAUAGCAUUUAAUUACUACAAAAUUACAAAAUAUUUAGACAAUAAUUCAUAAACAUAUCAUAAAUAAGAUCAAUAUUAAUAAAACUAAUGUUUUUUUACGGGACAGGUUGGCGGGACGGGUUUGGCAGAACGUUACUUAAUAACAAUUGUAAACUAUAAAAUAAAAGUAUUUUAUAGAUAGAUAUAAUUUGUAAACUUUUAUGUAUAUUAACUUUAAAAAAUAAAUUGUUCCCGCGGUGUACCGCGGAUUAAAAUCUAAUAAUCCUUAAAAGGACAAAGGAUUUCAAAAUAAUAAUUCUUAUUCAUCUCUU
Molecule: small RNA, 486 nt
Filed under: Arabidopsis thaliana (thale cress)
Lineage: Eukaryota; Viridiplantae; Streptophyta; Magnoliopsida; Brassicales; Brassicaceae
Description: ATSL195910
Source: RNAcentral